This 1401-nucleotide long non-coding RNA is filed under the name Carica papaya (papaya). RNAcentral's name for it is "long non-coding RNA (CPAP_LNC015313)". Lineage: Eukaryota; Viridiplantae; Streptophyta; Magnoliopsida; Brassicales; Caricaceae. The record is from RNAcentral.
GCCGCAACUUUAAAGCCACUGAAGUGUACUUCAAUAUGAAAUUGGUCUUUCUUUGAAAUUAAUGAACAAGUUUCAUUUUCUUUUUAAAAAUGGAUUGAACCAGCAAGUUCAUUUACAUAUGAAUUUUAUUUUGAAGUAAACAAGGAAAUGUGGAAAUACUUUCGUGAAUUAAGUCAUUACAUUUGAAACAAGAGUGUAAAAGUCAUUUCAAUAUUUCAUUCAUUCCAUUGUAUUUCGUAGAAUCCUAAAUGUAUUUGUUCAAUAUUUAAAUAUCAAAUGUAGAUUAAAACUUAAAUUUGGUUUUCUUUUUCUGUGAAUUAACUAGUAUCCAAACAGGGUGCAGUAUGUGUGGCUUGAUUAGUAACAUUUUUGGUUGUAAACCUUGUUUAAAUGUAGGUAUUCAAAGAGGCUGAUACAGGCUGUUGAGGAUGAUGGAUUGGUGAACCAUGCUUUGGUGCGGGAUCUAGAUGAAGAUGCAAAGCGGUUGGAACAGUUUGGUGCUGAACUUGAAGUUGAUUGAGUGUGUAGUAAUCAUAUAAAUUUAAAUGGUGUUCAGCUUAGAUUUAAAUGAUACAGCAAUUCAUAAGCUUAUAUAGCUUUAUGAAAUUUGUAAGGUUUUUCCGUAGUUUAAAGUUACACUCUUUUAAUUCAUAAAUUUUUAAGAAAAGGUUUACUGAACCCUUUUUUUUGUUUCUAUUUUAUCCAAAAAAAAUGUGAGAAAAUAUUUUGAACUUUUAAAUGGAGCAAAUUGAAGAACUUUAUUGCAAUUUGGGUAGAAUAAUGAACCUAUUAUUUCUUGAGAGCAACAAGUUAUAUAUUUUUUUAAUUUUAAAUUUACAGUGCGUGUAAAGAGACUUUUUUAAUUUAUGUUUUUACAUGAUGCAUUGCUCUUCGCAUUUUAGCAUUGCUUCUUCUUCGCAUUUUGAUUUUUGUCUCUUUCUUUUAAGUGUAUCAGAGUGAUUGUGACUGUUUUAUUUGUUAUCUAAGCAGUUUUUACCACUGUUUUAAUAUUUGUGAUUGGUAAUAUAAGUUUUUUAAGAGUAACUCUCUUAAUGUAGGAAUCCGUAAUAUUUUAGUUUUUGGUUUUGUCAAUUUGAUUUAUUUAAUUUUCUUCAUCCUUAAAUUUAAUAAAUACAAAUUUGUUGCAAAUCUUAACUAAAAUAUGGUAAUUAUAUAAUAGAAAACUCAAAUUUAACAAGAGGAGAACAUAAGAUUGUUCAUUAAAAAAUGUCAUUUCAGGGGAUUUUUUUACAAAUCUCUAGUUGCAUGAGAUCAUAAAUUGAAUUAAAAUUAAAGAGAAUAUAGAAGAGAAGUUAUGGACAUCCGCAAUUCGCGGAAUUUGAAAAGGUCAUAAUAUUUUAGAUUAGAUGUCCAUUUUGAAACACCAAAAAAAAAAGAAAA